AGUGAACGCUGGCGGUAGGCCUAACACAUGCAAGUCGAACGGCAGCACAGUAAGAGCUUGCUCUUACGGGUGGCGAGUGGCGGACGGGUGAGGAAUACAUCGGAAUCUACUUUUUCGUGGGGGAUAACGUAGGGAAACUUACGCUAAUACCGCAUACGACCUACGGGUGAAAGCAGGGGAUCUUCGGACCUUGCGCGAUUGAAUGAGCCGAUGUCGGAUUAGCUAGUUGGCGGGGUAAAGGCCCACCAAGGCGACGAUCCGUAGCUGGUCUGAGAGGAUGAUCAGCCACACUGGAACUGAGACACGGUCCAGACUCCUACGGGAGGCAGCAGUGGGGAAUAUUGGACAAUGGGCGAAAGCCUGAUCCAGCCAUACCGCGUGGGUGAAGAAGGCCUUCGGGUUGUAAAGCCCUUUUGUUGGGAAAGAAAGGCAGCAGGUUAAUACCCCGCUGUUCUGACGGUACCCAAAGAAUAAGCCCCGGCUAACUUCGUG
Molecule: ribosomal RNA, 492 nt
Filed under: uncultured bacterium
Lineage: Bacteria
Description: partial 16S ribosomal RNA
Rfam family: Bacterial small subunit ribosomal RNA
Source: RNAcentral